Molecule: long non-coding RNA, 2022 nt
Organism: Beta vulgaris subsp. vulgaris (sugar beet)
Lineage: Eukaryota; Viridiplantae; Streptophyta; Magnoliopsida; Caryophyllales; Amaranthaceae
Exons: 2
Source: RefSeq, a predicted model, not a curated record
UUACCUCGAAAUCUGGAGUGUUAUUUGCUAAUUAUAAGAACAUGACACCGCUGCAUGUUUUCAGCCUUAAGGUUCUGGCUAUGUGUUGCUACCUCCAGGAGAUGAAUUGUUCUUUGCAUGACAUGAACUAAAGGGUUAAGUUUACUGAAUCAUUUAUUUGGAAAGUAAUUGUAUCAAAUUGGUAAUAAAUCGUCCCUAUUAUCUCUUUUACACUCAAAGGCUUAAAGCAAAAAUGUCAACAAUGUAAAAACCUACUUCAUGUAAUAGUUUAUAUUUUUACGUGUGAAAAUAUGUUCUUUUUGUUUAAUAAUAGAAAUGUAAUAUUUUUCUCACCUUGGAGUAAUUUUCCUAAUGAUGUGGCAACUCUAUCCAUCUAUGUAAUUUUUUGCAAACCUAACUAGUCCAAGUCCUAUAUAAAGCACAUACUUGGACUCAAUAUCUUCACAACUCUAUCAAUUAGCUUCUUUUGAUAGCCUCUGCUCUCAUUCUGUUUGUUUUUCUUGGUCAUUGCUUCAAAGUAGCAAAGCUUGCAUGAAGAUCCAAAAGGAUCAAAUUGCUUUUAUACUUGCUAUCAUGAAAAAUCCUAGAAAAAAGAAAAAGACAUAUUUAAUCUUCAACAAAUAUCAUAUUAAGUCAGCGAUCCACCAGAAUAGCCUCUAUAGAACUGGAGAUGUUGUGGCAGAAUAGGAUGCUUACUGCUCAUUUACUGAGUUGAGGCCAUGAUUAUUAUUCAUGGCUGUUUGCGACGUACCAAUGAGGGCACCAUUCGUCAACUUAUCUAGAUUCUAACCAUACACCAAAGCUUUAUGUCGAAAUGGCUUAAUAGCCUGUCAUUUCUAUUCAAAAAAAUUUGCCUGCUAUUUAUGUUAAUGUAAUUUAACAUUACUCAGCAGCUCGAUCCUGUAGAAAUGAUGGCCUAUUAAAGCUAUUGGGGAAGAAAGCUACGGUUGUGGGUUCGUAUCUUGAUCUCCUAACCUAAAUUCUUCAUCUUCUUCUUUCGCAACCCAAUGGAUACGAAGUGGCAAGAGAAAUGAUCUCUUUCUCACUCCAUAAGACUGCCACUUGUAGAAUGAAGCUCUUCCGAGAAGAUUCUUCUGCAGAUUGUUUCUACGACGAGAACAUUCUUAUGUAGAAUGAAGCUCUUCCAAGAAGAUUCUUCUGCAGAUAGAAGCUACUCCGAGAAGAUUCAUCUGUAGAAUGAAGCUCUUCCCAGAAAGUUCUUUUGAGUUGAGAAUCCUUCUAUUAUAUCCAGAGGAGUUGCGAGUUCUAGAAGAUGGAAAAACUACAAUGUGCUGAAGUUUGGCCGAGUUACUUGGCGCACUUGAUCCUUGUCCAUGACAACCAGCUCAUGCAAGGAGGCCUAAUAUUUGACAAUAGACAUUUCAACUCGGUCAUGUCAGCCCAUUGCAAAUGUUUUUUUCUUUUUGUACUUUGCCUACGUUUUGUUGCUUUGUCAGUCCAUUGCAACUUUUUUUGCCUACGUUUUGUUGCUUUGUCAGUCCAUUGCAACUUUUUUUUUUUUUUUUUUGUGUGUAGUACUUUGCCUACGUUUAGUUGCUUAGGAGCCAUUAAGACUCUUUGUCUCCACACAUGCCAUUUCUUGUACCAGGAGGAGAGGAUUUGUUGGUUGAUGUAUCAAUUGGAUUACAAAUGAAGUAUUGUAUCAGAGGGUGAAGUAAGUUUAACUAAGAAGCUUAUGGGAAGUUGACUUGUAAAUCGGAGAUUGAGGUUUGAAAAUUGUACUCUCCCGAUUUUUAGUUGUUACACUAUUCAAAAAUUUCACUUUGAUCAUCUUUUGUGAUUUAUAUGUGAAUAAAAACAUGGUCACAUGAGAUCUUGUUAGAUUCGUCUUAAUAUGUACUUUUUAUAAUUUUACAGAUAUGAAACUAGAGAUAUUAGUACUCAAAGUUUUACAUUGACAUGAAUGAAAAGUGUAAGUGUAACAAUUAUUUGUAAUUAGAGGGAGUAUAUUAUUGGCGUUCAUCGUUCCCUAUAAAAAUAGAAGUAUCGUAUCUUAUUUUC